This 498-nucleotide ribosomal RNA is filed under the name uncultured bacterium. RNAcentral's name for it is "partial 16S ribosomal RNA". It matches the Rfam family "Bacterial small subunit ribosomal RNA", at positions 28 to 523 of the family's 1533-position model. The record is from RNAcentral.
GACGAACGCUGGCGGCAUGCUUUACACAUGCAAGUCGAACGGUAACAGGCCGCAAGGUGCUGACGAGUGGCGAACGGGUGAGUAAUGCAUCGGAACGUGCCCAGUCGUGGGGGAUAACGCAGCGAAAGCUGCGCUAAUACCGCAUACGAUCUAUGGAUGAAAGCGGGGGACCGUAAGGCCUCGCGCGAUUGGAGCGGCCGAUGUCAGAUUAGGUAGUUGGUGGGGUAAAGGCUCACCAAGCCAACGAUCUGUAGCUGGUCUGAGAGGACGACCAGCCACACUGGGAAUGAGACACGGCCCAGACUCCUACGGGAGGCAGCAGUGGGGAAGUUUGGACAAUGGGCGCAAGCCUGAUUCAGCAAUGCCGCGUGCAGGAAGAAGGCCUUCGGGUUGUAAACUGCUCUUGUACGGAACGAAACGGUCCUGGUUAAUACCCGGGGCUAAUGACGGUACCGUAAGAAUAAGCACCGGCUAACUACGUGCCAGCAGCCGCCGUAA